CGGCAACAGCUCAAAUUUGAAAUCUGGCCUCUUUGGGGUCCGAGUUGUAAUUUGGAGAGGAUGUUUCGGGUACGGUCCGGGCUUAAAUUUCUUGGAACAGAGUGUCACAGAGGGUGAGAAUCCCGUCUGGAGUCCGGACACGGCCUAUGUGAAACUCCUUCGACGAGUCGAGUUGUUUGGGAAUGCAGCUCUAAAUGGGUGGUAAAUUUCAUCUAAAGCUAAAUAUUGGCCAGAGACCGAUAGCGCACAAGUAGAGUGAUCGAAAGAUGAAAAGCACUUUGAAAAGAGAGUUAAAAAGUACGUGAAAUUGUUGAAAGGGAAGCGCUGGCAACCAGACUUGCACGUCGGGGUUCCCCCUUGCUUUUGCCUGGGUUACUCCCCGGCGUUCAGGCCAACAUCGGUUUCGGGGGUUGGUUAAAGGCCUUGGGAAUGUACUUACCUUCCGGGGUAAACUUAUAGCCCAAGGUGUCAUGCGACCUCCCGGGACCGAGGAACGCGCUUCGGCUCGGAUGUUGGCGUAAUGGUUGUCAGCGACCCGUCUUGAAACGCGGACCAAGGAGUCUAACAUCUAUGCGAGUGUUAGGGUGUCAAACCCUUACGCGGAAUGAAAGUGAACGGAGGUAGGAAGCCGUUAGGCUGCACUAUCGACCGAUCCUGAAGUUUACGGAUGGAUUUGAGUAAGAGCAUAGCUGUUGGGACCCGAAAGAUGGUGAACUAUGCCUGAAUAGGGUGAAGCCAGAGGAAACUCUGGUGGAGGCUCGCA
RNAcentral lists this ribosomal RNA (763 nucleotides) under Cyphellophora suttonii. RNAcentral's name for it is "eukaryotic LSU rRNA". It matches the Rfam family "Eukaryotic large subunit ribosomal RNA", at positions 99 to 879 of the family's 3401-position model. Lineage: Eukaryota; Fungi; Ascomycota; Eurotiomycetes; Chaetothyriales; Cyphellophoraceae. The record is from RNAcentral.